This 1537-nucleotide ribosomal RNA is filed under the name Parabacteroides distasonis. Its description in RNAcentral is "bacterial SSU rRNA". It matches the Rfam family "Bacterial small subunit ribosomal RNA". Lineage: Bacteria; Pseudomonadati; Bacteroidota; Bacteroidia; Bacteroidales; Tannerellaceae. The record is from RNAcentral.
CAAUUUAAACAACGAAGAGUUUGAUCCUGGCUCAGGAUGAACGCUAGCGACAGGCUUAACACAUGCAAGUCGAGGGGCAGCGGGGUGUAGCAAUACACCGCCGGCGACCGGCGCACGGGUGAGUAACGCGUAUGCAACUUGCCUAUCAGAGGGGGAUAACCCGGCGAAAGUCGGACUAAUACCGCAUGAAGCAGGGAUCCCGCAUGGGAAUAUUUGCUAAAGAUUCAUCGCUGAUAGAUAGGCAUGCGUUCCAUUAGGCAGUUGGCGGGGUAACGGCCCACCAAACCGACGAUGGAUAGGGGUUCUGAGAGGAAGGUCCCCCACAUUGGUACUGAGACACGGACCAAACUCCUACGGGAGGCAGCAGUGAGGAAUAUUGGUCAAUGGCCGAGAGGCUGAACCAGCCAAGUCGCGUGAGGGAUGAAGGUUCUAUGGAUCGUAAACCUCUUUUAUAAGGGAAUAAAGUGCGGGACGUGUCCCGUUUUGUAUGUACCUUAUGAAUAAGGAUCGGCUAACUCCGUGCCAGCAGCCGCGGUAAUACGGAGGAUCCGAGCGUUAUCCGGAUUUAUUGGGUUUAAAGGGUGCGUAGGCGGCCUUUUAAGUCAGCGGUGAAAGUCUGUGGCUCAACCAUAGAAUUGCCGUUGAAACUGGGGGGCUUGAGUAUGUUUGAGGCAGGCGGAAUGCGUGGUGUAGCGGUGAAAUGCAUAGAUAUCACGCAGAACCCCGAUUGCGAAGGCAGCCUGCCAAGCCAUUACUGACGCUGAUGCACGAAAGCGUGGGGAUCAAACAGGAUUAGAUACCCUGGUAGUCCACGCAGUAAACGAUGAUCACUAGCUGUUUGCGAUACACUGUAAGCGGCACAGCGAAAGCGUUAAGUGAUCCACCUGGGGAGUACGCCGGCAACGGUGAAACUCAAAGGAAUUGACGGGGGCCCGCACAAGCGGAGGAACAUGUGGUUUAAUUCGAUGAUACGCGAGGAACCUUACCCGGGUUUGAACGCAUUCGGACCGAGGUGGAAACACCUUUUCUAGCAAUAGCCGUUUGCGAGGUGCUGCAUGGUUGUCGUCAGCUCGUGCCGUGAGGUGUCGGCUUAAGUGCCAUAACGAGCGCAACCCUUGCCACUAGUUACUAACAGGUUAGGCUGAGGACUCUGGUGGGACUGCCAGCGUAAGCUGCGAGGAAGGCGGGGAUGACGUCAAAUCAGCACGGCCCUUACAUCCGGGGCGACACACGUGUUACAAUGGCGUGGACAAAGGGAGGCCACCUGGCGACAGGGAGCGAAUCCCCAAACCACGUCUCAGUUCGGAUCGGAGUCUGCAACCCGACUCCGUGAAGCUGGAUUCGCUAGUAAUCGCGCAUCAGCCAUGGCGCGGUGAAUACGUUCCCGGGCCUUGUACACACCGCCCGUCAAGCCAUGGGAGCCGGGGGUACCUGAAGUCCGUAACCGAAAGGAUCGGCCUAGGGUAAAACUGGUGACUGGGGCUAAGUCGUAACAAGGUAGCCGUACCGGAAGGUGCGGCUGGAACACCUCCUUUCU